RNAcentral lists this ribosomal RNA (500 nucleotides) under uncultured bacterium. RNAcentral describes it as "partial 16S ribosomal RNA". It matches the Rfam family "Bacterial small subunit ribosomal RNA", at positions 30 to 523 of the family's 1533-position model. The record is from RNAcentral.
AUUGAACGCUGGCGGCAUGCCUUACACAUGCAAGUCGAACGGCAGCACGGGAGCAAUCCUGGUGGCGAGUGGCGAACGGGUGAGUAAUAUAUCGGAACGUGCCCAGUCGUGGGGGAUAACGCAGCGAAAGCUGUGCUAAUACCGCAUACGACCUCUGGAUGAAAGCGGGGGCACGUAAGGCCUCGCGCGAUUGGAGCGGCCGAUAUCAGAUUAGCUAGUUGGUGGGGUAAAGGCCCACCAAGGCGACGAUCUGUAGCUGGUCUGAGAGAACGACCAACCACAAUGGAACUGAGACACGGUCCAGACUCCUACGGGAGGCAGCAGUGGGGAAUUUUGGACAAUAGGCGCAAGCCUGAUCCAGCAAUGCCGCGUGCAGGAUGAAGGCCUUCGGGUUGUAAACUGCUUUUGUACGGAACGAAACGGCGAGCUCUAAUAAAGUUUGCUAAUGACGGUACCGUAAGAAUAAGCACCGGCUAACUACGUGCCAGCCGCCGCGGUAA